AGUGAACGCUGGCGGUAGGCCUAACACAUGCAAGUCGAACGGCAGCACAGUAAGAGCUUGCUCUUACGGGUGGCGAGUGGCGGACGGGUGAGGAAUACAUCGGAAUCUACUUUUUCGUGGGGGAUAACGUAGGGAAACUUACGCUAAUACCGCAUACGACCUACGGGUGAAAGCAGGGGAUCUUCGGACCUUGCGCGAUUGAAUGAGCCGAUGUCGGAUUAGCUAGUUGGCGGGGUAAAGGCCCACCAAGGCGACGAUCCGUAGCUGGUCUGAGAGGAUGAUCGGCCACACUGGAACUGAGACACGGUCCAGACUCCUACGGGAGGCAGCAGUGGGGAAUAUUGGACAAAGGGCGCAAGCCUGAUCCAGCCAUACCGCGUGGGUGAAGAAGGCCUUCGGGUUGUAAAGCCCUUCUGUUGGGAAAGAAAAGCAGCAGGUUAAUACCCCGCUGUUCUGACGGUACCCAAAGAAUAAGCACCGGCUAACUUCGUG
This 492-nucleotide ribosomal RNA is filed under the name uncultured bacterium. RNAcentral's name for it is "partial 16S ribosomal RNA". It matches the Rfam family "Bacterial small subunit ribosomal RNA", at positions 29 to 507 of the family's 1533-position model. The record is from RNAcentral.